GGGUCGCGGGGCUCGCCUCGGCACAGGGCGGGCGCGGCGCAGACGGGGCUUCGGAACCGCUUGCCUCUGUCUGCCUUCGCCUUUUUUAUCCUCAUUUCAAACACCUUUUCCCACAAUCCUUUAUUCAUUCUUUUCAUCAGAAUUACUCCUAUGAUUUUGAAAAUACACAAAAUCUUCGUUUUCAUUUGGCAUAGCAUCCAUCCUUGGUGCCUGGAGGUAGCAAACGCUGAUUUACAAGCCACAGAGCUUCUUGUCUUUUUUCCUGUUUUCUUUGCAGAACAGCACAAAACAGAGAAGUCUGGGCUUGUGCUCAAGAAUAUCAGGUCUGAUGCUGUAGCCGAAACUGCUCUUGCUGCUCACAGGAGAAAAAGAAAAAUGAAAAGUUCCAGUCCUUUGGAGGAGCAUACAGGUUCCCGAAUAACAGUGUUUUAAUCCUCGGAGUGCUGGAGAAACAAGGCCGAGGGACAGAGAAGUUGUUUUCAUCAGUAUUUAGAUGGUCUUUCUGUAAUUUAAUUUUUUUGUUUGUUUGUUUCCUGAUAAAGAGGUAUUUUUAGUUACAAGAAAGGGAAGGGAGGGAAACCUCUUCUGAUCAUUUUGUAGUGUAUAUCCCACCAUGAACUACGGCCAAUACCCAGUAGUGUGUCAGGAGAAUGAAGUAAGACUGCCCUACAAUCCUGAAUAUAUCAAUCACCAUUGUGGAAGCCACAAUUCACGGUGAGGAAAAGAGUUUCCUCUCACUUGUAUACAGUGACACUGAAAGUAUUUCAUCAACAUUUAUUACAGGGCAUUUUUCAUGCCCUAGUAAAUCAGUGUGAGAAAGAAAGCUUUGAGAAUCCCUUUCAGUAAGCACAAAGGGAAACAAUGGAAGCCUAUGAUUGUUGAAAGGAAAAAGUGGCAAUUAUUCUAAGUUUACUGAACAUUAGGACCUCUAUGCUCAACAUCGGCUUUAAAAGAAGGCAUUAAAACACAGGACGACAAUCAUUUAUUACUGUCUACGGUGUUCUUUUCUGGACUAGGAGCUAGGCUUGAUGUUCAUUUUGGGUAAGCAAUCUGGAUAAAGUUGAACUGGUCUGAAGUUAAAGUGGGGUUUUGAUGCAGAACCUGAACUUACCUUAGUCUCACAUCAUUUGAGAUAACUCUAGCUCUGGAUAGCAUAUGUAUUGAAGUACCCACAGUGUGGAAGGCAGUCGGUUUUAUUCUCUUCUUUUAAUUUCGUUUUUAUUAAGUACCAUAGUUCUGUGAACUUUUGUCUAAUUGACAUAAGAUUCCUGUCGAUGGGCUCAUUUUUCCCAGUUAUUUUUUUAAUGAAAUGACAGUUAGAAUCUCUCUGUAUUCCUGUGCUAAUAAAGUGAUGAUCUUAAUUUCCA
RNAcentral lists this long non-coding RNA (1367 nucleotides) under Apteryx rowi (Okarito brown kiwi). RNAcentral describes it as "lncRNA (ENSARWG00000008576.1)". Lineage: Eukaryota; Metazoa; Chordata; Aves; Apterygiformes; Apterygidae. The record is from RNAcentral.